CCCUUCCCAUCCCGAACAGGACCGUGAAACGACUCUACGCCGAUGAUAGUGCGGAUCUCCCGUGUGAAAGUAGGUAAUCGUCAGGCU
This 87-nucleotide ribosomal RNA is filed under the name Candidatus Burkholderia humilis. The record is from RNAcentral. Lineage: Bacteria; Pseudomonadati; Pseudomonadota; Betaproteobacteria; Burkholderiales; Burkholderiaceae.